Long non-coding RNA from Acromyrmex echinatior (Panamanian leafcutter ant), 719 nucleotides. NCBI's taxonomy places the organism in Eukaryota, Metazoa, Arthropoda, Insecta, Hymenoptera, Formicidae. The record is from RefSeq and is a predicted model, not a curated record.
UAGUGAUAAUCGCUUAUCAAAGAUACGCUUCACCUUUGACAAGACAUCAUGUGAUGUAAUUUUUACAAGAAUUUUAUCAUUAAUUAUGGUUUUGUUGAUUUGUGAAAUCCUCAGUAUAAAACUAAUCAGUCAUUGCGCAGCAUUAAUAACAGCGUCUUUAUAAGAUUCUGCUUUUUGAGGAUGUUUCACAAGUCGUACGCAUUAUUGAAAUCAAAUUUUUAAACUGAGUUGCAUUCUGUGGUGAAAAUGAAAUUUUAUAUCACGUUAUUAAUGAUUGCUAUGAUGGUGAUGACUACCAGGUCGUCACCGCUACUACAGAAAACUCAACUCAGAUCGACUCCGAAAACACCGAUGACAAAUGAAACAAUGUCUUCAGUUAAUAUCAUAACAGUACCGGAUUUUCCGUGUCCACCUGGCCAACAACGUGAUACGAACGGAGCAUGUCGAUUGUUUUUGCAAAAGCUUAAGAAAUAGUUUCAAGAAGAAUUAUAGAUACAACGAUACGAGCGGUGUAAUCCUACAAAUGUCACAAUGAAAUAUCAUAACAACGCAUGUCGAGAGAUUGGCCAAGCUAUUUGUCCGCUUUGCAUCAGAGAAACAAACUUCACCAUCGAUGCGAUCAAUGUAUAUUAUUUAUUAGUUGUUUUAGUGUUUACACAGUAAUACUUGCAAUUAUAAUAUGAGUCCCGAUUUAUCAUAAUAAAAUACAUUUUUAUCUA